UGAAGGCCUGAGAGAGCUGGAGAAGCAAAUAGCCUGGAUAAGCCCAGAUGUGAGGUCCAUUCUACAGAUUUGCUCACCUUCUUGAUGGUAACAAAUUCAUUUUCUGCAUUUGUCCGCUUGUUGAUCUCGUCCUCAUACCUACAAGGAAAUCAGAGGGAUUUCGAUAUUUGGAGAAGGUCUUGCAUGUUCUUCAAUUCCGAAUCCAUCCUAGACUGGUCAUUCUUCAGUUGGUCCACUCUCCUUCUAAGAUUGUUGAUGUAGGACUCAAAGUAGGGUUCUAAGCUGUGGGUCCGAGUGGAGGUGUCUACCUGCUGCAGCAGCUCCCAUUUUGUUUGCAGCACCUGGUUCUGCUGCUCCAAGAACCGCACCUGAGAACACAAGCCGCCAUUACUGACUGAUGCAGAAAUGGAGUCCACUGGCCACUGAGUGCCAUAAGCUACCCCACAGUG
Zalophus californianus (California sea lion) is the source of this 449-nucleotide long non-coding RNA. RefSeq lists it as uncharacterized. The record is from RefSeq and is a predicted model, not a curated record. NCBI's taxonomy places the organism in Eukaryota, Metazoa, Chordata, Mammalia, Carnivora, Otariidae. The transcript has 3 exons.